GCCAUGGGACCAGGCGCGGGCGGAAGCUGAAGCAACAGGCGGGAAGCGCGAGGUUACGUGCUGGCUCAGCCUGGCGCUGUGCUGGGUUAGGCGCGCGUAACACACUGAGCCUCAGUGGGCUGAAAAGAGCCGGGCUCUGUAUAGGAUUGCAGGUUUAGGCGGAGUGGGCGGCAGCAAAAGAAAGCCACCAUGCGUUUCCCUCAUUUCUUGGUUUCCUAUUAAUGUAGCUGUAAGUAAGCGCAUACAGUCAUGGGAAAAAGAAUUUGAAUUCUGUGGUGUUGCAUGUGAAGUCAUAACGAACUCAUCUGUUUCUUGGCAGGUCUUAGAGUUAGCUAAAUACAACCUCAGAUGAAGGGCAACACACGAUGUAUUACACCGUCUCAUUGAUGUAUUUAACAGAAAUAAAGCCAAAAUGGAAAAGCUGUGUGUGAAAAAGCAUUUGUACAUCUUAUGAUUCAAUAGCUUGUAGAACCACCUUGAGCAGCGAUAACAUGAAGUAAUUGUUUUCUGCAGGACUUUAUUAGCCUCUCACAUCAUUGUGGAGGAAUUUUGGCACGUCCUUCACAGUGUUGCUUCCGUUCAUUGAGGUUUGCUGGCAUUUCUGUAUGCACAGCUCUCUGAAGGUCCCACGCAGUAUUUCAAUUGGAUUGACGUCUGGGUUUUGACUGGGCCAUUGCAACACCUUGGUUCUGUUCUUUUUCAGCAAUUCUGUUGUACAUUUGCUGGUGUGCUUGGGAUCCUUGUCCUGUUGCAUGACCCAAUUUCAGCCAAGUUUCAGCUGUCGGGCAGAUGGCCUCUCAUUUGACUCUAGAAUACUGUGGUAUACAGAGGAGUUCAUGGUCAGCUCAAUGACUGCAAGGUCCCCAGGACCGGUGGCUGCUAGACAGUUGGUAUGAGGUGCUUGUGCUGAUAUGCUGUGUUUGGUUUUUGCUAAACAUGGUGCUGUGCCUUAUGGCCAAACAUCUCCACUUGGGUCUUGUCUGUCCCAAGGACAUUGUUCAGAAGUCUUGUGGUUUGUUCGGCUGCAACUUUGCAAAUCAAAGCCGAGCUGCCAUGUUCUUUUUAGAGAGACGAGGCUUUCUCCUGGAAACCCUUUCAAACAAACCAUACUUGUUCAGUCUUUUUCUAAUUGUACAGUCAUGAACUUUAACAUUUAACAUGCUAACUGAGGCCUAUAGAGCGUUUUUUGCAAUUUUUCUGAGCAUUGCAUGUUCUGACCUUGGGGUGAAUUUGCUGGGACGUCCACUCCUGAGAAGUCUGGCAACUGUUUUUAAAGUUUUUCACUUUUGCAUAAUCUUUUUCACUGUAGAAUGAUGGACUUAAAAUUAGUUGGAAAUGGCCUUAGAACCCUUCCCAGUUUCAUGGGUGACAGCACUUGCUACUCUAAGAGCAUUGUGUCAUCUUUCCUCCUUGGCAUUGUGUUAAAAUACACCUGAAUGCUCCAGACCAGCAAACUGCUAAAACUUCGGCUUUUAUAGAGGUGGGCACACUUGCAAGGGCAUCUGAUUAGCAGCUUCUAUCUGCUGUUUAGCCACGAAUUCCUAUGGAACACGUUGGCGACUAAUAAACACACAAUAAUUACCAAAAUAAUUAUACAUUCUUUAUCAAUCUUCUGAGAAAAAUACAAAACCUUGUGCAAAGCCACAGAAACUUGCAAACUACCCAGUCUAAGAUGAACUUAUAAUGUCUGAUUUCAAUAGAUUUUUCAAAUGCUUAACUCAGUCUUUUGUUUUCUUUAUCUUUUUAGGUAAGUUCAUGAAGAGACCAACAAAAGGUAAGUUCGGUGUUGUUCACAAUACCGAGAGAUGCUAGUGAAGUUGUAAAUGGAUGUUAAUGAAGUUGUAGACAGGGUGCCAGCGUUUUGCACCUGUUUUGCCCUGGCAGUCCAAGUAAUCAAGAGGCCGCUGUUCGCCCCCAAUGGGGCCCUUUUACAGGGGCUUACAGGUAGCACACUCCGAAGGUAGUUUUCCGGGCUUCUUCAGUGGUCUAAUCUCAAAGCCUUGAUACGUAUAUUGAUAUUCAAUUUCAUAGAGAGUACUAUUUCUUAGCUUAAGCUUAAGAGACUGAUUUGCUUAUGCCAUGUGUUGUUGUUCAUCUGAGAUUAUAUUUACCUAAUUUUAACACCUGCUAAGGAACAGAUGAUGGCUAUUAUGUCCUGAUAUGUAAAACCACAAAAUUCAAAGAGGGUGCACUUUCUGUUUCCCAUGACUGUAGAUGCCAGAAGUUCACACACGAAAUAGGAGCACUUUUGCAAUUACGGGAACAUCCUUGUUCUCAUCAAGAGUCAAUGCCAGGAUGUCUGUCACACUCUCCCCACCCAUCCCUCACCCCACCCUCCUGCCCUGCUUUGGCUUCUUAAACAGAAUUGUUGGGAGGCAGACUGUAAACAGCCUUGUUUUUAUUUUGACAUUGACACCUCACUUUCCGGCCAUAUAGGUUUUAAGGCUGCUGAAAUCCAAGAUUGUUGAAUAGCAGGUUUAAUCUCACUGUGAGUUGAGUUGUAUGUACUUAGGACAACUGCAACUCAAAAACAGUCAGUGUCAUUUACCAGGUGGGUAGACGGUUAUUGUUGGGGAAAAUGGGGAAGUUCCUGAGCAUGUAUGCCCUAAAAAACGAACAAAACCCACAGCCUCAAAAACUCCGCAAAGGUAAAAUAUUUCUUUUCUUAUGUUUAUGAUUGGUUAAUCUAUGAUAGCAGUCCAUAUUGUACAAAAAGUAAUUAACUUGUGCUUUCUAAAUAGCAUCCGACUCUUAUAUUUAUUCUCUGGCUCAGUGGCCACAUUUAGAUGUUGCGAUAAACCAUUAUUUGCUCUGAUGAAAAGGCGCCACACCUUUUUUCUUUCACUUGUCUCCUCCCUUACAUAGGAUGGAGUGACAAUUAAAAGUCCCAGUUGCAGGCUUUCAUCUGAGUGUAGAAAACUGCAGUUUGUACAAAUUACUGUAUAAUUCAAGCAGGAUCAAACCAUGGUUUGAUAUCCUGAUUUGUUGACUAAAUUUAAUUGGUAAAAACCACAAGUUCUUGUAUUUAGAUAGGAAAGGAGGUUUGUUCCAGAUCAAAUUGGAAACUUUUAACUCUCCUCACAUUUGGAGGAAGUGGGACAAGGAAGCGGGAGCACACAAGCCCAAGACUUGACAUGGCACAUUCUUUAUAACACUAACCUAGGGUAUAGUAUAAUGCCUGAAUAUGGCCAGUUCACUCUUAUUUAUAUUUACUUUGGAGUAAGUGAACUCAAUGAGUUUUAGUUCCAAGUUAGCAUAUUGCCUGUGCCAAAAUAGUUGCUUACAAUAGGAUACACAGCUGUGUUCUAAAAUGACCACAUCACAAAAAUUCCCAUAAGUUAGGGUUGUAGAAAAUGAUGCCGCAGGAAUCUCCUAGGCACUGGUUCAAAUGUUUAGGACAGAUGGUCAGCUGAUGAAUUAUUUGAAGCUAUUACUAAAUUUUCCACUAGAGGGAGCAUGCUCCUACAGUUGACAGUUAUUAUUUACAAGUACAGUAACGUGAAUGUUUGGGAGUUUCUAAUUUCAAAAGUUAAGCUUUAUAGUCUGCUUCUAUGUAUAGGGUUAAGUGUGAUAUUCAUUUUCAGUGGAUUAAGAUUUCUCUUACUCUGUAAAGGACCAGGCUGCUCAUACUUCUAUAUACGUAUCUUAUGGAGCUGCCAUUGGAAAUGCAGGAAAGUUACUAGGCGACACUGAGACAGUGUUUGGUGCCUAAUUCUCAGCUCCAUCAAAACUGGUUGAGAGGCAGGUAUUAUUGAUAGAACUGUUACCAGUGGAAAGAGUGCAUCUGUUGUUGUUGUUGUUUAGUCGUGUCCGACUCUUCGUGCCCAUGGACCAGAGCACGCCAGGCACUUCUGUCUUCCACUGCCUCCCGCAGUUUGGUCAAACUCAUGCUGAUAGCUUCGAGAACACUAUCCAACCAUCUCAUCCUCUGUCGUCCCCUUCUCCUUGUGCCCUCCAUCUUUCCCAACGUUAGGGUCUUUUCCAGGGAGUCUUCUCUUCUCAUGAGGUGGCCAAAAUAUUGGAGCCUCAGCUUCACGAUCUGUCCUUCCAGUGAGCACUCAGGGUUGAUUUCCUUAAGAAUGGAUAGGUUUGUUCUUCUUGCAGUCCAUGGGACUCUCAAGAGUCUCCUCCAGCAACAUAAUUCAAAAGCAUCAAUUCUUCGGUGAUCAGCCUUCUUUAUGGUCCAGCUCUCACUUCCAUACAUCACUAUUGGGAAAACCAUAACUUUUACUAUACGGACCUUUGUUGGCAAGGUGAUGUCUCUACUUUUUAAGGUGCUGUCUAGGUUUAUCAUUGCUUUUCUCCCAAGAAGCAGGCGUCUUUUAAUUUCGUGGCUGCUGUCACCAUAUGCAAUGAUCAUGGAGCCCAAGAAAGUAAAAUCUCUCACUGCCUCCAUUUCUUCCCCUUCUAUUUGCCAGGAGGUGAUGGGACCAGUGGCCAUGAUCUUUGUUUUUUUGAUGUUGAGCUUCAGACCAUAUUUUGCGCUCUCCUCUUUCACCCUCAAUAAAAGGUUCUUUAAUUCCUCCUCACUUUCCGCCAUCAAGGUUGUGUCAAGUGCAUCUGUAGAAACACUAAAAUAAUUUCAUAAAAAAAGCUAUUCAUGAACAUUCCUGCCUACUUAUUCACACACACACAUGGAAUGUGGAAGUUCCAUUCCCUAAGAUGGGAGGGGAGGGGAGGGGACAAGGAACCUGUAGCCCUCCAGGUGUUGUCAGUUCCACCUUCCUUCAGCCCAAGUGCUCCAGGAUGAUGGGAGUUGUCAUCCAGUAACACCUGGAGGGUCACAGGUUCCCUGCUACCCCUGGUUAAGUGGCACAUAUCUGUUGUAAAAAUAAAAACUCUUAAAUACUUAUGAAAAGCAAAUAUUCAUUUCCUGGAGUUUACUGAGGUAUGAUCACAGGCCCAUUAAAUAUUCCAUCUUAUAUUUAUUGAGAACUUAUUAUCACUCCUGAUCUAUUUCCUUCCCACUUUUUUGAAAGUAGGGGAAGACUUCUGUUUUGAUAUUUUCAUUUCUCUUCCUGAAGAAAUCCUACUUUAUUUACAUAUUUUACUUGCUUUGCGUUCUGCUUUGUUUUAUUAUUUCCAACAUGAAAUGUUAAAACAAAAUCUUUAAAAUACAGUAGUACCUCGUGUUACAUACGCUUCAGGUUACACACGCUUCAGGUUACAGACUCCGCUAACCCAGAAAUAGUACCUUGGGUUAAGAACUUUGCUUCAGGAUGAGAACAGAAAUCAUGCAGCGGCGGCGCGGCGGCAGAAGGAGGCCCCAUUAGCUAAAGUGGUGCUUCAGGUUAAGAACAGUUUCAGGUUAAGAACAGACCUCCAGAACGAAUUAAGUUCUUAACCCGAGGUACCACUGUAAAAAUUGAUGUUUAUUAACAUGAAGUUAUUUCCCCCUUAAAUUUUGUAUAAUAAAGAUUUCAAUAAAAUGGUAUAUAUUUAUAAGAUUCAUUGUACCACUUCAAAAUAACCCUGGCAGAGCACAUGUCCAACCUGCAGUUUCCAUCCUCAUAAAUCUAAGUUUAGCUAUUGCUUCUCUUUUUCGGAAGUUGGUAUCAUUUAAUGUGGCCUUAAGGCAAAAGUUAAUAUAAUGGAACAACCUAUGGAGUAAUAUACCCUCGUUCAAUUUGCUGUGCAUACUAAUAACCCGCUUUUCUUAGUUAUACACCUGUGCAAAAGAUAUACUCUGUCCUUGUUAUUGAGUCAAAUACUGUACUUCCUGUUAAAAAUUCCUGAUAAAAUAUUAUUAACUUAUCAAGCUUAUCAAUAAUAUUUCCUUCUCUUUGCUGAAAUGUUCCUUUCUGCUUUACAGAGUUUUACCAGUAGAUGGAGAUAU
Molecule: non-coding RNA, 5836 nt
Organism: Podarcis lilfordi (Lilford's wall lizard)
Lineage: Eukaryota; Metazoa; Chordata; Lepidosauria; Squamata; Lacertidae
Source: the annotation of a GenBank genome assembly